RNAcentral lists this ribosomal RNA (253 nucleotides) under uncultured bacterium. Its description in RNAcentral is "partial 16S ribosomal RNA". It matches the Rfam family "Bacterial small subunit ribosomal RNA", at positions 524 to 776 of the family's 1533-position model. The record is from RNAcentral.
UACGUAGGGACCAAGCGUUGUUCGGAUUUACUGGGCGUAAAGGGCGCGUAGGCGGCUUGUCAAGUCACUUGUGAAAUCUCUGGGCUUAACCCAGAACGGCCAAGUGAAACUGACAUGCUAGAGUGCAGAAGGGGCAAUCGGAAUUCUUGGUGUAGCGGUGAAAUGCGUAGAUAUCAAGAGGAACACCUGAGGUGAAGACGGGUUGCUGGGCUGACACUGACGCUGAGGCGCGAAAGCUAGGGUAGCAAACGGG